Molecule: non-coding RNA, 74 nt
Organism: Ornithodoros turicata
Lineage: Eukaryota; Metazoa; Arthropoda; Arachnida; Ixodida; Argasidae
Source: the annotation of a RefSeq genome assembly
GCCAGCGUAGCGCAAUUGGUUAGCGCACUCGACGGGCGAUCGAAAGGAGCGUGGUUCGAGUCCCGCCGCUGGCU